UGGGGGAUAUUGCACAAUGGGCGAAAGCCUGAUGCAGCGACGCCGCGUGGGGGAUGAAGGCCUUCGGGUUGUAAACUUCUUUUGCUCUGAACAAGGCAUGCUAAUGGGUGUGUUGAGUGUAGGGGUUGAUUAGCGCCGGCUAACUACGUGCCAGCAGCCGCGGUAAUACGUAGGGCGCGAGCGUUGUCCGGAAUUAUUGGGCGUAAAGGGCUUGUAGGUGGCUGGUUGCGUCUGUCGUGAAAGCUCAUGGCUUAACUGUGGGUUUGCGGUGGGUACGGGCUGGCUUGAGUGCAGUAGGGGAGGCUGGAAUUCCUGGUGUAGCGGUGGAAUGCGCAGAUAUCAGGAGGAAUACCGGUGGCGAAGGCGGGUCUCCGGGCUGUUACUGACACUGAGGAGCGAAAGCAUGGGGAGCGAACAGG
This 419-nucleotide ribosomal RNA is filed under the name bacterium. RNAcentral describes it as "partial 16S ribosomal RNA". It matches the Rfam family "Bacterial small subunit ribosomal RNA", at positions 355 to 776 of the family's 1533-position model. The record is from RNAcentral.